CCUACGGGUGGCAGCAGUGAGGAAUCUUGGUCAAUGGCCGGAAGGCUGAACCAGCCAUGCCGCGUGAAGGUCAGUGCCCUAUGGGCGUUAAACUUCUUUUGUGCGGGAGCAAUAAUGGUCACGUGUGGCCAGACGAGAGUACCGUACGAAUAAGCAUCGGCUAACUCCGUGCCAGCAGCCGCGGUAAUACGGGGGAUGCAAGCGUUAUCCGGAUUUAUUGGGUUUAAAGGGUGCGUAGGCUGUGAGGUAAGUCAGCGGUGAAAUGCCCCCGCUCAACGGGGUGAAGUGCCAUUGAUACUGCCUGGCUGGAAUGCGGAUGCCGUGGGAGGAAUGUGUGGUGUAGCGGUGAAAUGCAUAGAUAUCACACAGAACACCGAUUGCGAAGGCAUCUCACGAAUCCGCGAUUGACGCUGAUGCACGAAAGCGUGGGUAUCAAACAGGAUUAGAUACCCUAGUAGUC
This 460-nucleotide ribosomal RNA is filed under the name uncultured bacterium. Its description in RNAcentral is "partial 16S ribosomal RNA". It matches the Rfam family "Bacterial small subunit ribosomal RNA", at positions 338 to 795 of the family's 1533-position model. The record is from RNAcentral.